CUUUGUGUGGCUUUCUGAAACACAUUCCCAACUUUUUUUUCUACAUUGCAAACAAAGUUCUGAAAAUACAGCAUCUUUUGAAAUGGCUGUUAAACCUGUGCUGCCCACAUCAUGUUGCUUCAAGGCUUUCAGAAGUUGCUAUUCAGAAUUAGGGCAAGCAACUAUACACCUCCCUGUGGCUGCAGAUACUAUUCAUGAUUGCAGCACAGGGGUGACCUGAUUUCAUAUCAGAAAGAAUUACCUGACCUGAUUUCACACCAGGAAGUAUUAGCUGUCAGACAACAACUUAAAAUAGAUCAUCACCCAAAACAAGGAGCUUACUGCAAACCUCAGGACAAAAGCAGGGUAGGCUGCUCACCGUUCACAAAGGUCAAUGAAGGCACCCUGGCCACACAGAGCAGACAGCAGCAGCGUCCUAAUGGGGCCUGGCUAAGGUCUGAGCUUCUGCAUCACAUCUUUCCCUACUGUUCAACAGGUUCCUGACCCACAGAAGUUAUGCAUUUGAUUGUUUCUGCCAAUCCCUGCUAUCAAGUACAGCUGAUGUUUAGUUUUCCUGGAAACCAACACAGCUAUUUCAACUGAGCCUGACUAUCUAUUCCUCUUUGAACAGUUUAGCUUGCUCCAGCAUUCACUGAAAAAGUAAUGCCCAUCAUCUCCAGUCCGUGACACUACUAGAUUUCUCCUAAUUCUGAUACCCCUGGUCCACUUGCUCCAGGCUAGGUGCUCCUAAAAAACAGCCACGUGACAGAGGCAGUAGUAGCCUAAAUAGAAUCAAACUUAAUUUCUGAACAACUGUCAGUGGCUCUAAAAGCAACCAUCCCCUUCAAUAAGGAAUUAAUGUUUGGUUAGAAGGAUAAUGUAUUAAUACUUCCUCACAUUUAUGAGUGUUCACAAGUGUUAUAAAGCCAGAAGGUCUACCUGAAAUUCCCAUUUUAAUCAGCAUGCCAAUAGCAAAACCAGGACUGAGUUCAUUCGUUCAUUUUUACACAAUGGCCUGCAUUUGAAGUCCUCAGGACAGGUGCUAUCUUGAGCUAAAGGAUACAUCAGGGAAAUGUUGACCUUUGGCUUAAUGGAAACUCCUCCUGGCCUACUCUCCUGAGUAGUGUUUAGUCAUCAUUUGUUUUCCUCUUGUGCUCUCUGCUUUUCUGAGACAGAUUUUAGAAGAGACAGGUACAAUUUUUCUGGCCACAUUUAGGCCUGUAGAAUGUAGAUGUGUUAGUCUUGCUCUGUGCUUUGUAUUCCCUGGAUAGUUAAUAGCAAGAGGUAGCCCCUUUAGAGCAUGAAUCCUAGAAUUCACCCUGAGCAAGUGUUGGGAUUCGAGAGCUCAUGUUCUGCACCUUAUCUUCUCUGUCCAUUGCUUGCGGAAGGACCUUGGAGAGGAGCUCAGCCUCAGACACUGGUCCUUGGGUAUUUCAUUUAGGAAAAAUGGAUCCUAA
Molecule: long non-coding RNA, 1436 nt
Filed under: Anser brachyrhynchus (Pink-footed goose)
Lineage: Eukaryota; Metazoa; Chordata; Aves; Anseriformes; Anatidae
Description: lncRNA (ENSABRG00000001973.1)
Source: RNAcentral